This is a long non-coding RNA of Drosophila subpulchrella, 688 nucleotides long. RefSeq lists it as uncharacterized. The transcript is spliced from 3 exons. Lineage: Eukaryota; Metazoa; Arthropoda; Insecta; Diptera; Drosophilidae. The record is from RefSeq and is a predicted model, not a curated record.
ACAACGCCAAAUAAAAGCAAGCGUUUACAAUUGACGUCACGGUGGAAAUCAGCAGCAUUGUAUUGAAAACUUAGCUGAGCAUAAGAGUGGAAUCAGUGCAGCAUACAAUAUGAAUUUUAAAUUGGGAACGGAGCAUUGUAAAUAUCGUAUAAACAAGACCCGGAACUUUCCACAGCUGGAACAGAAUUUAUGCGGGUCUGCUAAAUGUGUCAGAAAAAUAAAUCCGGUUUUAUUUUGGAGAUCCUUCAGAACUUACUCUGUUCCAUGACACUGCUCACCGAAUUGUUGAUCUCAGCCACCACGACGAUCUCCUCGUUCUCCUCCGUCUCCUCGGGCACCAUCAUCAGGUUGUUGUUCAUCAGAUAGGUCUCCAUCCGGUGAUCCCCCUGGCCACCUCCCUCAGCGGUGUUGCUGCUGCGCAAUCGGUGGGUGAACGAGGAUCGGGAUCGUGUCAUAUACGAGGAUCUGGUGGUGGAGACCCUUCUCAGGACCCCGCGUCCGUAGAACAGCAUCCUUACCUCGACGCGAAACCGCGGAUGGGUUGCCGCAUACAGAGCUGGUCCCUCCUUGAUGUUGUUGUAUAUGGCAAUUGGACACUUGAUGAGCAUCAGAAAGUCGCAGAUGGCCAGGUUCAUCACCAGAAUGUUGGCCGGAGUCCGCAGCGAUUUGCGGUUAGCGAACAUAAAGA